GCGCCCAUAGCUCAAUUGGUUAGAGCGAUUCCGGCACGCUCUGGUCUGCAUCCUGGACGUCCGCCUCUGGUGGUGUAGGAUGCAGGUUGGGGUUCGAGGAAGAGAUGGGGAUUCGAGUUCCUCUGGACGCA
This is a non-coding RNA of Dioszegia hungarica, 131 nucleotides long. The record is from the annotation of a RefSeq genome assembly. NCBI's taxonomy places the organism in Eukaryota, Fungi, Basidiomycota, Tremellomycetes, Tremellales, Bulleribasidiaceae.